This 871-nucleotide ribosomal RNA is filed under the name Asterophlyctis sarcoptoides. RNAcentral describes it as "eukaryotic LSU rRNA". It matches the Rfam family "Eukaryotic large subunit ribosomal RNA", at positions 107 to 916 of the family's 3401-position model. The record is from RNAcentral. Lineage: Eukaryota; Fungi; Chytridiomycota; Chytridiomycetes; Chytridiales; Chytriomycetaceae.
GCUCAAAUUUGAAAUCUCUCGGGUUCCCCGAGCGAAUUGUAGUUUCAAGAGGCGCUUUCGGGGGCAGCCUUGGACCAAGUCCGCUGGAACGCGGCACCACAGAGGGUGAGAGUCCCGUUGGUCCAGGCGUCUGCUCCUAUGUGAUGCGUUUUCAACGAGUCGCGUAGUUUGGGAAUGCUGCGCAAAUUGGGUGGUAAAUACCAUCUAAAGCUAAAUAUUGGCGAGAGACCGAUAGCGAACAAGUACCGUGAGGGAAAGAUGAAAAGAACUUUGAAAAGAGAGUUAAACAGUACGUGAAAUUGUCAAAAGGGAAACGCUUGAAACCAGUAUUCCGUGCCGCCAAAUCAGCCGCAAAGGUGCACUUUGGCGCACGGGGGUCAGCAUCAGUUUGGGCUCGGGUAAAAAGUCGAACGGAAGGUGGCUCUGCGUUAUAGCCGUCCGACCAUGCCCGGGACCAGACUGAGGACUGCAGCCACUGCAUUGGGGAAGCCGCCGCCCCCGACCGCCCGCUGGCCGACUACUUGUAGACGUCCGGCGACCGCCUAGGGGCCCGGUGGUGUACCACUCUGGGCUUGGGAUGCUGACGAAAUGGUUUUAAACGACCCGUCUUGAAACACGGACCAAGGAGUCCAACACACACGCGAGUCUUUGGGUGGCAAACCCGAGGGCGCAAUGAAAGUAAAUGCAGGUGUGAUGCCGUCAAAAGCUGCAACAUCGACCGGACUGGACGUUUUACUAAAAGUUCUGAGUAGGAGCGUGUUUGUUGGGACCCGAAAGAUGGUGAACUAUGCCUGAAUAGGGUGAAGUCAGAGGAAACUCUGAUGGAAGCUCGUAGCGGUUCUGACGUGCAAAUCGAUCGUCAAAUUUGGGU